UCCUUACUCAUAUAGAAUAACGUACAGUAGCCUAUCAGUUCGCUCUUGAAAUCAUAACACACUGCUUUUGAGGUCCACCUGGUGGCGGUUCCAGAUUGUUUGCAACCAGCCACCGCAUGCAUCAUUCACAUCAGCCUUCCCCUGCUGUCUUUUCUUACUGCGGCAGGCCCCUCACCUCACAGUAAACCACAGAUUUUGGUUGCGUCUAAAGCAGCCUAAAGACUCUCGCUUUGAGAGAUGAUUAUUUACCACGCUGCAAGAGCAAAACCUCCAGCGGCCAAGCUGCUUUGUCGUAAAAAUAUAUAAGAAGUGCGCGGGGUCUGUGCGCGAGGGCCAGAAGCAGCCGCACUUCACACUGGCAUCAAUUACUGCGAGCAGUUUGCAAAUAAACAAAGCUGCUGCCUCUCAUAAAUUCUGUGCGUAAUUACGCACUGCAGAUGCAUGCUGGGAGGCGAUGAGAUGCAGGCAGACGUUAUUUAUCCCAUGAAGUCGCUGGUGCUGCAGACAAGAUGGAGCUGAUCAAAUAUUAAAGAGCAGCAUAUGGAGGUGCUGGGUGUGAGGAGGCCAACAGCAAGAGAGAGAGACGCACACAAAAGAAAAUGCAAUAACAAAAUGGAAAUGUCUUGCUUCCGUAAGAAAUGUUUAAGGAGGAGGUUUGGUAAGAGGAUGGAAGGAAAAAAUAUGACUCAAUAAAAACAGACUUUUCUCGAAUGUCUGCAUAUUAUCAGACCAUGAUAAUCAGAUUUUCCAUGCUCAUGUAUUCCAUGCAUUCCACAAUGGAAUCACAGCUCACAUUCUGAACUGCACAAAUCAGAUGCAAAUCUCAUGCAUGAGAUUUUAUUAGACAUGUGAGGACCAUGAUUUGUAACUAAAUGUGCCGAAACAAAUAAGCAACGGCACACUGCAAGGGAUUUCAUAAGGGUCUUGAGGGUGGUGUUCUAAAAUAGUAGCCCACUAUUAAAAGGGCUUACAACUUUGCAUGUAAACCCAUAAUUGAAAACAAUGUUUUUACCAAACCAACCCAGUUCCCUUGGGAAAAUGUGAACAGAUGUUCUUUAACUCUACAAAUGAAAUAAAACAAUGAUUCUUUUUUGGUGUGUGUGUGUGUGUGUGUGUGUGUACAUAUAUAUAUUAGUUGUGCUCAAAAUUAUUCAUACCCAUGAUCAAAGAAAGCUGUAAAACUAAAUCUGCAUUGUUUAUCCAUUUGAUCUUUCAUUCAAAAAAAAAAAAAAAAAAAAAAAGAAAAAAUCUAACCUUUAAUUGAA
Megalobrama amblycephala (Wuchang bream) is the source of this 1265-nucleotide long non-coding RNA. RefSeq lists it as uncharacterized. The record is from RefSeq and is a predicted model, not a curated record. NCBI's taxonomy places the organism in Eukaryota, Metazoa, Chordata, Actinopteri, Cypriniformes, Xenocyprididae. The transcript has 2 exons.